AUUGAACGCUGGCGGCAGGCCUAACACAUGCAAGUCGAACGGUAACAGGAAGAACCUUGCUUCUUUGCUGUCGAGUGGCGGGGGGGUGUGACAUGUCUGUGACACUCCUUGAUGGAGGGGGUUACCUACUGGAAACGGUAGCUAUUACCGCAUAAUGUUUCAAGAGCAAAGAGGGGGAGUUUCAGGCGGCUUUCCAUCCGCUGUGCCCAGAUGGCGGUUGGGAUUAGCUAGUAGGUCAGGUAACGGCUUACCUAGGCGACGAUGCGUAGCUGAGCUGAGAGGGUGACCAGCCACACUGGAACUGAGACACGGUCCAGACUCCUACGGGAGGCAGCAGUGGGGAAUAUUGCGCAAUGGGCGCAAGCCUGAUGCAGCUAUGCCGCGUGUGUGAAGAAGGCCUUCGGGUUGUAAAGUACUUUCAGCAGGGAGGAAGGGAGGAGAGUUAAAACCUGCGCUUAUUGACGUUACCCGCAGAAGAAGCCCCGGCUAACUCCGUG
This 497-nucleotide ribosomal RNA is filed under the name uncultured bacterium. RNAcentral describes it as "partial 16S ribosomal RNA". It matches the Rfam family "Bacterial small subunit ribosomal RNA", at positions 30 to 507 of the family's 1533-position model. The record is from RNAcentral.